CCUGUCCACAGCCCUACUAAAGCAAAACAAAUGGACCCAAAAAAUUAAAAAUAAAAAUCAAAUCUUCAAUUUCCUUCUAAGAUUGCAAAUAAUGCAAUUCCUAAUCUUUCUUCCUCCUCAACAUUGAUUCUCUUGACUCAGAUGAUACAGAAAGGGUGGACUUUUGCACAGACUCCUCAUAACUUUACGUCACCCGGUCUCAAUCUUAGCUUCUCUUUAAUCUCUUCUUUUUCUUUCACUGUAUGGUAUUUCUUAUGUAUUUGCUGAAGAAUUUGCAAACAAAUCUAGUUCAGUUGUGGAGAAUCUGAAACAAACACAGUCCGUUUUUGUGAAUCUGUAACAGACCCAGUUCUCUGAAUUCUGGGGAAUCUUAAAUUAAAUUCAGUAUGUUGGUUCUUUGUCUCUUCUAAUGUGUUUCCAUUAGAAGCAACAACUGAAGAAUCUAGAACAAAGUUUCAAUUUCAGAUUUGUUUUGCUAUGAAUUGGUUUAAUUCUGCUGGUAAUUAGAUCUUUUUGCUUCUCCUUACAUGUACAUACAAUUUUGAGUUGCCUGAUAAAGCUGUAAAUAAUAAUUGGAAGUAUUAUGUUGCCUGAGUUGUGUGGUUCAAGCUUGCUUCUAGCUCUGCCGGAUGAUGUGUUUGCUAUUAUAUCGCGUUCACUUUCUCCGAAAGACAUAUGUAAUCUCAGUCUUUGUUGCCGGAGUUUGUGUACUCUGGUGGCCUCUGAGAAAGUUUGGCUCACCCAAUGUGACAUGGUAGGAAUCCUUCCUCAUAAGGAUCUUAUUGACUGGCGAAAGGGCGUGUCUUCUUACAAAGCUCUUUGUCGCUUCCUUGUUAGCGUUAAACCAUUACUUGGAAUUUGGGUUCAUCAAAACCCUGAGCUAGGUAAUGUGGUGUAUGUCAUGCCUGGUUUUAUGUCUGUUGUUGGAUGUAGAAUAAUACCUCAGGAGCUCGGCCCUUUAGGAAUUGAGGACGGCCCUAUACUAUGGUCGCCGGUGUUUGAAAUAAUAGGGGAUCUUGAUGGUUCUGUUUUAUUCUUUCUACAUGGAAGAGAAAACGGAACUGACUAUGUUUAUCCUGGUUCAGUCAAGCCUGUUGAGCAGAAUUGCAAUGUAUUAUUGCUUGAGGUUGAGCCUGGACAACAGAAGAAGGGGAAUGUAUUAUUGCAAAGUAAAAGCUUUGCCUAUAAUACAGAUGAGCAAAUUUCAAGAAAGCUUUCUAGGUCAAGUAGUGAAUUGCCAAGGUCUCAGAGGAUGCUUGGACAGGGCGAUGUUAAGGUGCCUUUUAGCCGCUUGGGUUUUAGUGACCGAAGAAAGUUGAUUGAGGUUGUCACUACCCAUGUUCGCCAAAAUGUACCUGAUUCAGCAAAUGGGCCAGUAUUUCCCAGGUUGAGGAGUGAUGAGGAAAACUUUGAGAAAGAUAUGGUAUUCUUAUUUGAAAGAAGAUCUGUGCUUAUCCAAAUGUAUGAGCUUGGUGGGAGUUGUAUUGACUGGAAGGAAUCUCCUGAACUGCCUUCUGAUCCUACACAACUGCAAUUGAGAGAGAUUAGAAGGAGUAUUGAUUGUUCAAGUGGAUUUCAUAGUUCUCUCAAUGGGGAUGGUCACACAAAAUCUAUCAUGAAGAAAAGUCUUGGUGGGUAUUUUAGAGCUAGCUUUAGACAAAUUUUGGGGAAGUCUCCCUCUAUUAAUGGCAGCCGCACACUUUCGAAAAAUAAUUCUUCAAGCAGUGAGAAUAAGCAUGCACAGCUUCACGAGUUCUUGAGAUCAGGUGACACAAUAGGAUUGACGCUACAUGCAUCUACAGUAAGGUUAUCUUCUUAUCGAGCAUGGCCAAAUAUGCAUGAUAGUCGGUUUGCCCUGUACAAGUUACCCAUGUGGGUUCCGAGAGCUGACCAAGAGUAUGCUGGUCUAUGGGGGGGAACUUUUGGUUGGCCUCCAGGGAAGCCUACUGAAGAUAAGCCUGGAAAAGCUCUCUUUUUUCUUUUGAUCUCUUAUGAGGAGUCUGAUGUGCAGCGGCUGCUCAUUGCUACCAAAAUAUUGGAAGGCACGCACUAUGUUCUUCAUCCAAAUGGCUCAGCAAUGUUUAUAGCUAAUAUUGAUGAACCAUCACAUGAUCCAUUUCCUUGGGAUAUUGAUGCAGAUUCCACUCCCGUGAGUGUAAAACAUGCAUUUGCAGGCGAGGGUAUAGCAAAUGGAUAUGGUUUCCGAUAUCCUGGCUCAAAGCCUGGUUCCCUUUUCGUUAUUCAAAAUGGUCUUCUUGCCUUCAUUUGGAAGGAAUCCAGAGCUGUCUUGACCAUGCAGAGAUUGAACCUGCAAGAGCUUUUGAAAAAGGGUGAACAGGUGCCUGCUCUACCUCCAAUUGCCAACUUUUCAUAUUUGACCAAGUCCUACUCAAAUGUGUUUGCUGGCUUCUCAAAUGCCUCAACCUGUUUAUCAUCACCAAGCUAGGAUUUUGUCUCUUGAAGGUUGAGAAUGAAUUAUAACCUUAUGGUUUUAUGGGUUAUACACUAGCUUUGCUCUUGCCGUGGAGGAGAGAAUGAGCUUUGCAGUUUCUACUUAAAAGAGUUACCCUGGGUAUCUCAUGUUAAAGAUACCAUGAUAAUCAAAACAUGAAAAUAUAUAUGAAUUUUUUUAAGACGUCUUGAUUUUGCUGUUUGGAUAUUCAUGAAAUGUCCAUAGAAGGGAAAGACACUAAUACAAAAUUUAUAUGUUUUGAAACCAAAGCACGAGGACCAAAGGGUUGCUGCAGGACCUUUGAUAUGGUUGCUUAUAUAAAGUUUGAGCAGGCAUUCUCAGUAGCUGUUGAUGAUCAAAUUCCGGUACCCAUUUUGUUGUUUUGCUGAUGAUGAGUGCUUCCCAGUGAUGUUCAGUUGUCUAAUAAAUCAUAUCUCUCGAAUGACAAAUGUUAAGGUGAUUCUUAUGUAUUCUGUAAUAGAAUUUUAAUUAGGUUUAGAUUAUCUUUAUGACAAUGAACAUUGGGUAUAAGUAUCUCAGUUAAAUUAGACGAUUCAGUGUACUUAAGAUAAGAGAUUGAAUGAAGCAUCUAAAAAUGCAUUUGAACUAUAGAAGAGGAAAAGGAACAUUCCUGUACUAAUUAUUUUAUUUUUAUACUUAUCUGGGGCUGGGGAAUGCUCUGUAGUUGUACUCCAAACUACUUAUGUUUGGCAUUUUUCUUAUAUUACAUACAUAUCACCAAACACUGUCUGGUGUCAUCAGAA
This is a non-coding RNA of Jatropha curcas, 3216 nucleotides long. The record is from RefSeq and is a predicted model, not a curated record. Lineage: Eukaryota; Viridiplantae; Streptophyta; Magnoliopsida; Malpighiales; Euphorbiaceae.